RNAcentral lists this transfer RNA (82 nucleotides) under Candidatus Zixiibacteriota bacterium. RNAcentral's name for it is "tRNA-Leu". It matches the Rfam family "tRNA". Rfam says of the family: Transfer RNA (tRNA) molecules are approximately 80 nucleotides in length. The record is from RNAcentral. Lineage: Bacteria; Pseudomonadati; Candidatus Zixiibacteriota.
GCGAGAGUGGCGGAAUUGGCAGACGCGCCGGACUUAGGAUCCGGUCCUUCACGGGGUGGGGGUUCGAGUCCCCCCUUUCGCA